RNAcentral lists this ribosomal RNA (608 nucleotides) under uncultured bacterium. RNAcentral describes it as "bacterial SSU rRNA". The stretch from base 1 to 541 matches the Rfam family "Bacterial small subunit ribosomal RNA", at positions 338 to 873 of the family's 1533-position model. The record is from RNAcentral.
CCUACGGGAGGCAGCAGUGGGGAAUUUUGGACAAUGGGCGCAAGCCUGAUCCAGCCAUGCCGCGUGCGGGAAGAAGGCCUUCGGGUUGUAAACCGCUUUUGUCAGGGAAGAAAUCCUUUGAGAUAAUACCUCGGAGGGAUGACGGUACCUGAAGAAUAAGCACCGGCUAACUACGUGCCAGCAGCCGCGGUAAUACGUAGGGUGCGAGCGUUAAUCGGAAUUACUGGGCGUAAAGCGUGCGCAGGCGGUCUUGCAAGACAGAUGUGAAAUCCCCGGGCUCAACCUGGGAACUGCAUUUGUGACUGCAAGGCUAGAGUACGGUAGAGGGGGAUGGAAUUCCGCGUGUAGCAGUGAAAUGCGUAGAUAUGCGGAGGAACACCGAUGGCGAAGGCAAUCCCCUGGACCUGUACUGACGCUCAUGCACGAAAGCGUGGGGAGCAAACAGGAUUAGAUACCCUGGUAGUCCACGCCCUAAACGAUGUCAACUGGUUGUUGGACGGCUUGCUGUUCAGUACGAAGCUAACGCGUGAAGUUGACCGCCUGGGGNGACGCGCGAGUAGAGANAGAGAGUGAGNGNGAGAGNGCGAGGACGACGACGAGGGAGGAGG